Molecule: ribosomal RNA, 935 nt
Filed under: Cactosoma sp. ER-2010
Lineage: Eukaryota; Metazoa; Cnidaria; Anthozoa; Actiniaria; Halcampidae
Description: eukaryotic LSU rRNA
Rfam family: Eukaryotic large subunit ribosomal RNA
Source: RNAcentral
AAGGAUUCCCUUAGUAAUGGCGAAUGAAGAGGGAUCAGCUCAAAUUUGAAAUCUGCGUCGCCUGCGACGCCGAAUUGUAGUUUCGAGAAGCACUUUCUAGGCGGGUCCUGCUCCGUCCAAGGCGCUGGGAACAGCGCGUCACAGAGGGUGAGAACCCCGUCCGUGGCGGGAUGGGCCGCUGACGUCGUGCUUUCGAAGAGUCGGGUUGUUUGGGAAUGCAGCCCAAAAGGGGUGGUAAACUCCAUCUAAAGCUAAAUAUUGGCACGAGACCGAUAGCGAACAAGUACCGUGAGGGAAAGAUGAAAAGCACUUUGAAAAGAGAGUUAAAAAGUACGUGAAACCGUUGAAAGGGAAACGGAUGGGGCUGGCAAUGCGCCGUGCGAGAUUCAGCCGACGGGUGGCUCGGGCGGGCGGUUUGCGGAUCCGAACGGACCGCGGCCGUCGGGUUCGGGCUCUCCGUCGUCGCACUUCUCGCCGGCGCGCGCCAACGUCGGUUGGUGCUGGGUCUAAAUGGCUCGGGCAAGGUAGGUUCCUCCUCUCGGGGAAGAGCUGUUACAGGCCCUUGCGCAAUGGCCCGGUGCCGACCGUGGAGCUGCGGCGUGAGCCUUCUUGGCUAGGGUCUCGUCUCUCCGGCCGGCGGUCGACUGCGGUGGACUGCGUGCAGUGCGCCGCGACUGUCGCCGGUCGCUGGGGCGGUGACCUCGUACUUCGCGCCAAGGACGUUGGCGAUCAGACGGCCUCAUUCGACCCGUCUUGAAACACGGACCAAGGAGUCUAACAUGUGCGCGAGUCUUCGAGUGAGAGAAACUCGCCGGCGCAAUGAAAGUGAAGGUGGCCUCGGCCGCCGAGGUGAGAGCCCGCCCCCUCGUGGGCGUGGGUGCAUCAUCGACCGACCUAUCCUGCUCUCAGGAAGGUUUGAGUAAGAGCGCAUCUGU